RNAcentral lists this microRNA (21 nucleotides) under Nicotiana tabacum (common tobacco). RNAcentral's name for it is "nta-miR6156". Lineage: Eukaryota; Viridiplantae; Streptophyta; Magnoliopsida; Solanales; Solanaceae. The record is from miRBase by way of RNAcentral.
UUGAAGAUGUUCUAUUUCUGU